Molecule: ribosomal RNA, 438 nt
Filed under: uncultured bacterium
Lineage: Bacteria
Description: bacterial SSU rRNA
Rfam family: Bacterial small subunit ribosomal RNA
Source: RNAcentral
UAGGGAAUUUUCGUCAAUGGGGGGAACCCUGAACGAGCAAUGCCGCGUGUGUGAAGAAGGUCUUCGGAUCGUAAAGCACUGUUGUAAGUGAAGAAUGCCACAUAGAGGAAAUGCUAUGUGGGUGACGGUAGCUUACCAGAAAGCCACGGCUAACUACGUGCCAGCAGCCGCGGUAAUACGUAGGUGGCAAGCGUUAUCCGGAAUCAUUGGGCGUAAAGGGUGCGUAGGUGGCACGAUAAGUCUGAAGUAAAAGGCAACAGCUCAACUGUUGUAUGCUUUGGAAACUGUCGAGCUAGAGUGCAGAAGAGGGCGAUGGAAUUCCAUGUGUAGCGGUAAAAUGCGUAGAUAUAUGGAGGAACACCAGUGGCGAAGGCGGUCGCCUGGUCUGUAACCGACACUGAUGCACGAAAGCGUGGGGAGCAAAUAGGAUUAGAUACC